AUGAACGCUGGCGGCGUGCCUAAUACAUGCAAGUCGCACGGGGAGUAGCAAUACUCUUAGUGGCGAACGGGUGAGUAACGCGUUGGUACCUGCCCCGAAGCGGGGGAUAACGGACCGAAAGGUCCGCUAAUACCCCAUGUGCUCGGUAACGAGUAAAGGUGAAAACCACUUUGGGAGGGGCCUGCGUCCCAUCAGCUAGUUGGUAAGGUAACGGCUUACCAAGGCGAUGACGGGUAGGGGACCUGAGAGGGUGGCCCCCCACAAUGGAACUGAAACACGGUCCAUACACCUACGGGUGGCAGCAGUAGGGAAUAUUGGUAAUGGGCGCAAGCCUGAACCAGCAACGCCGCGUGUGCGAUGACGGCCUUCGGGUUGUAAAGCACUUUUGACUGGGACGAGGAAGGACGGUACCGGUCGAAUCAGCCUCGGCUAACUACGUG
RNAcentral lists this ribosomal RNA (440 nucleotides) under uncultured bacterium. RNAcentral describes it as "partial 16S ribosomal RNA". It matches the Rfam family "Bacterial small subunit ribosomal RNA", at positions 29 to 507 of the family's 1533-position model. The record is from RNAcentral.